AAGGAAUAGUGUUAUUAUAUGUUUUCCAGCCAUAUUAUCAUUUUAUAGCACAAUCAAGUAACUGUGUUACCUUCACUUGUUAAAAAAAAUCUAUAUAUUUAUAUAU
This is a long non-coding RNA of Xiphophorus couchianus (Monterrey platyfish), 106 nucleotides long. RefSeq lists it as uncharacterized. The record is from RefSeq and is a predicted model, not a curated record. Lineage: Eukaryota; Metazoa; Chordata; Actinopteri; Cyprinodontiformes; Poeciliidae. The transcript has 3 exons.